CACGUAGGGGACGAGCGUUGUCCGGAUUCAUUGGGCGUAAAGAGCGUGUAGGCGGUCCGGUAAGUCCGCUGUGAAAGUCGGGGGCUCAACCCUCGAAUGCCGGUGGAUACUGUCGGGCUAGAGUGCGGAAGAGGCGAGUGGAAUUCCUGGUGUAGCGGUGAAAUGCGCAGAUAUCAGGAGGAACACCUAUUGCGAAGGCAGCUCGCUGGGACGUAACUGACGCUGAGACGCGAAAGCGUGGGGAGCGAACAGG
RNAcentral lists this ribosomal RNA (253 nucleotides) under uncultured bacterium. Its description in RNAcentral is "partial 16S ribosomal RNA". It matches the Rfam family "Bacterial small subunit ribosomal RNA", at positions 524 to 776 of the family's 1533-position model. The record is from RNAcentral.